RNAcentral lists this small nuclear RNA (72 nucleotides) under Sphenodon punctatus (tuatara). RNAcentral's name for it is "U5 spliceosomal RNA (ENSSPUG00000017598.1)". It matches the Rfam family "U5 spliceosomal RNA", at positions 5 to 76 of the family's 117-position model. Rfam says of the family: U5 RNA is a component of both types of known spliceosome. The precise function of this molecule is unknown, though it is known that the 5' loop is required for splice site selection and p220 binding, and that both the 3' stem-loop and the Sm site are important for Sm protein binding and cap methylation. The record is from Rfam by way of RNAcentral. Lineage: Eukaryota; Metazoa; Chordata; Lepidosauria; Sphenodontia; Sphenodontidae.
UCUGGUUUCUCUUCAAAUUGUACAAAUCUUUCGCAUUUUGCUAGAGAUUUCUGUGGAGAGAAACGGUAUUGA